This 523-nucleotide long non-coding RNA is filed under the name Panax ginseng (ginseng). RNAcentral's name for it is "long non-coding RNA (PGIN_LNC018502)". The record is from RNAcentral. Lineage: Eukaryota; Viridiplantae; Streptophyta; Magnoliopsida; Apiales; Araliaceae.
UAAUAUCAAAAAAAUUUGCCACUUUGGUGGUUUAAGAGUACUUAAUCCUGUUACUUUCGUACGGGUGAGAAAGGCAAAAGAACAUUAAAUGAUGAUAUUUCCAAGAGUGAAAGAAACCCACUACUCUAGCAUAAACUUGAGAACCGCAUCUUCUUGGUCAGAGGAAGUUUUUCCAGUGAUUUGGUUUUUGGAUUUGAGGCAUGCAGUUCAAUUGUUGGAGCUCUAAUGAUGGGGGUUUAAUUGUGGGUUGAAUCAGUAGGAUAAGAUUUGAUGCAAUUAUUUUAAGGGGUAAAGGAGGGACAUGGUUUGCAGUUUGUUGGUAGGUGGAGAAGAGAUAAUUGAGGAUCCGGUUAGCAUGAAGUUUAAUUUUUGGUAAGAUCAACUUACCCAAAAAUAAACUUCAUGCUAACCAUCUCCAAUAAUUGAAUUAGCCUGUCCUUCAAUGAUCAAUCACUCAUUAUUGUUCCCUGGUGUUUUAACUGCUGUAACUUUUAUACUAGUAAUUGACAUCACAAGAUUUUUG